This 69-nucleotide transfer RNA is filed under the name Melopsittacus undulatus (budgerigar). RNAcentral's name for it is "tRNA-Asp". Lineage: Eukaryota; Metazoa; Chordata; Aves; Psittaciformes; Psittaculidae. The record is from RNAcentral.
GAGGUGUUAGUAAACUUAUUACAUAGCCCUGUCAAAGCUAAACCACAGGUGAAACCCCUGUACACCUCU